Molecule: long non-coding RNA, 270 nt
Filed under: Vigna radiata
Lineage: Eukaryota; Viridiplantae; Streptophyta; Magnoliopsida; Fabales; Fabaceae
Description: long non-coding RNA (VRAD_LNC005484)
Source: RNAcentral
UUGAGUUAUCUCUCUUAACUAGGGCUAAUUUACCAUUUAUUUUUUAUUUUUUAUUUUUAUUUUUGGUUUAGUGCUUCAUUUUUUUAUCUAAAGAAAAAUGCUAUUCCUUUUCUUUUGCUUAAAAUUGAAGUGAAGAACCCUCCCAUUUUUUUUUAUCUUGACUUAAUAUGCUUUGAUUAUAGAACUGAAACCAAAUGUUGAAAACAAUUGUUGUUGUAUCCUUUCCUUGCACUAGUGAAAUAAACAUAAAACAUAUAAGUUGAAAAAAAG